UACGUAGGGGGCGAGCGUUAUCCGGAUUCACUGGGUGUAAAGGGAGCGUAGACGGCCAAGCAAGCCAGGGGUGAAAGCCCGGGGCCCAACCCCGGGACUGCCCUUGGAACUGCAUGGCUGGAGUGCGGGAGGGGCAGGCGGAAUUCCUGGUGUAGCGGUGAAAUGCGUAGGUAUCAGGAGGAACACCGGCGGCGAAGGCGGCCUGCUGGACUGCGACUGACGUUGAGGCUCGAAAGCGUGGGGAGCGAACAGG
RNAcentral lists this ribosomal RNA (253 nucleotides) under uncultured bacterium. RNAcentral describes it as "partial 16S ribosomal RNA". It matches the Rfam family "Bacterial small subunit ribosomal RNA", at positions 524 to 776 of the family's 1533-position model. The record is from RNAcentral.